This 477-nucleotide ribosomal RNA is filed under the name uncultured bacterium. RNAcentral's name for it is "bacterial SSU rRNA". It matches the Rfam family "Bacterial small subunit ribosomal RNA", at positions 329 to 798 of the family's 1533-position model. The record is from RNAcentral.
GAGUGUACUCCUACGGGAGGCAGCAGUGGGGAAUUUUGGACAAUGGGCGCAAGCCUGAUCCAGCCAUGCCGCGUGUCUGAAGAAGGCCUUCGGGUUGUAAAGGACUUUUGUCAGGGAAGAAAAGAACAGGGUUAAUACCUCUGUUUGAUGACGGUACCUGAAGAAUAAGCACCGGCUAACUACGUGCCAGCAGCCGCGGUAAUACGUAGGGUGCGAGCGUUAAUCGGAAUUACUGGGCGUAAAGCGAGCGCAGACGGUUACUUAAGCAGGAUGUGAAAUCCCCGGGCUCAACCUGGGAACUGGGUUCUGAAAUGGGUGACUAGAGUGGGUCAGAGGGAGGUAGAAUUCCACGUGUAGCAGGGAAAUGCGUAGGAAUGUGGAGGAAUACCGAUGGCGAAGGCAGCCUCCUGGGAUAACACUGACGUUCAUGCUCGAAAGCGUGGGUAGCAAACAGGAUUAGAUACCCCAGUAGUCCGA